UAGCCUGGUAGCAAUACUAGGUUGAGCCAGUGGCGAACGGGUGCGUAACACGUGAGUCAUCUGCCUGAAAGUGGGGGAUAACUCGCCGAAAGGCGAAUUAAUACCGCAUGUGCCCCGAAGCAAUUCGGGAUAAAGCCGGGGCAACCUGGCGCUUUUAGAUGAGCUCGCGGCCUAUCAGCUUGUUGGUAAGGUAACGGCUUACCAAGGCUUCGACGGGUAGCUGGUCUGAGAGGACGACCAGCCACACUGGAACUGAGACACGGUCCAGACACCUACGGGUGGCAGCAGUCGAGAAUUUUUCUCAAUGGGGGAAACCCUGAAGGAGCGACGCCGCGUGGAGGAUGAAGGCUUUCGGGUUGUAAACUCCUGUCAUUUGGGAACAACACCUUACGGUAACUGCGUGGAGGUUUGAUAGUACCAGAAGAGGAAGAGACGGCUAACUCUGUGCCAGCAGCCGCGGUAAUACAGAGGUCUCAAGCGUUGUUCGGAUUCAUUGGGCGUAAAGGGCGCGUAGGCUGCGGGGCAAGUCGGGUGUGAAAUCUCAGAGCUCAACUCUGAAACUGCACUCGAUACUGCUUUGCUUGAGGACUGGAGAGGAGAUUGGAAUUCACGGUGUAGCA
This 620-nucleotide ribosomal RNA is filed under the name uncultured Verrucomicrobiota bacterium. Its description in RNAcentral is "bacterial SSU rRNA". It matches the Rfam family "Bacterial small subunit ribosomal RNA", at positions 70 to 680 of the family's 1533-position model. The record is from RNAcentral. Lineage: Bacteria; Pseudomonadati; Verrucomicrobiota.